CGAGAUUGUUCACCCGGACUUCGUUGCCUACUGUCCGGGGAGGGAGCGGUAUCCCUCAAGCUUCACUAGAAUCAAUACAAAGCUUUGGAAACGUCUAUACAACAAGAUCUCAAUCCUCGGAAAGAGUCUAGUGUCGUUACCUCCGAAAUAUACCACAGAUAAUCGGAUCCUCGGCUAGAUCAACGUCGGAGACACUGCUCCGUCGCCUCCUGUUGAGCUAGCUACCGGUAAAGCUCUCUCUCUUGAUUCUCUUCUCGUGAAGCUCUCUGAUCUCUCUGAUCUUUCUUUCUGUUAGAAGCCGCAAAGAAGACGAUGGCCGUUACAGCCGUUUUAACCAGCUGUUUAGCUCGUGGGCUUUAGUGUCACGAGGCCCAGCUCGCUCUUCUCUUUAACCCGUUACUGAAGUAGCAGGCCCAAUAGCAUUUGGCCCAAACCAGAAGAAAACAAGCUGAAGACCAAAAACCCACAAAUCUCCACCUCUUUGGUUUUCAGACACAACCGCGAAACCCUAGGAUGCGAUCAGCUCCUCCUUUCUCUUCUCCGCCUUCUCACUUUAAAAAGAUUCCGGCGAAGCUCGACCAAUACCAUCUUCUGGCGAUGGCCUCUGAUUCAGUUGUCUUCGAACCGGUAAGCUUCUUUUCUUUCUCGAUUCUCUCUCUCUAGAAUCGUAAUUGAGCAUCUCCACCUGAAACUAACAUCCAUUUAUCUUGUAUGUUAGUUAUAGAUACUUCCUUUAGCUCACCUAACAGUUUCUGAACACUCCGUUCUGCAGAAGAACUUCAACUGAAAACCCUACGGUCUGUUGUUUCUCUUUGCUGAUUCAAACAACCAGAACUCUAUUCCCUGACUCACUCUUUAUCUGAUACUGAGACUGCAGAUUUGCAGACGAGCACCUGAUACUGCCAGAAGAACUACCUCGAAUCAACACUCAGCAAACUCCACCUGAUUUGCUGUUCCUGAUUCAAUCUCAGUGACUCAACCUCAACCCUUGUUCAGAGAUCCUAUGUUUUGAUCUCCUCUGCUCGACAGGUAACUCCUUCUCGUAUGCUUCUUGCUUUUAAGACCUUCACACAUAACCUCCUUUUUUUUUUUUUUUUUUUUGCUAGUGUUAAUGCCAUGUAUUCAGCUUCGGUGGUUGAGAGCGCUACUACUGACUGAAGUCCUGACUUCCAGGACACAGUGUUGCCUCCCACUUGAAAUACAAUCCCGGAUACUGAUCGUCUCCUGUCUAGGUCUGUAGCAUAGUCUGAAUCCGAGAACCCUUCAACCAUGAACUCCGUAGACUUCUUGAAUGUUAGACACUUCUCAUAAGCUCCUGCUACAUACCUUAGUACCCAUUUCACUGCCUCCCAGUGCUCUCUACUUGGGUGUGACAUGAAACGACUGAUCAGGCCAACUGCAAAACCCAAGUCUGGCCUUGAUCCCACCAUGGCAUACAUCAAGCUGCCCACUGCGCUUGCGUAUGGCACGUCCUUCAUGAACUCAUAUUCAUCUGCUCUCUCCUUAGGAUGUAAGCUUUUUAGUUUAAAAUGAGACGCAGUAGGAGUAACAACUGCUUUAGCUUCAAACAUGCCAAAAGUCUUUAGUACCUUCUCUAGAUACUUAGCUUGUGAUAGUUUCAAAAUACCCUGUCUCGAGUAAUAUCCAUUCCUAGGAUCCUUGAGGCCUUUCCCAAAUCCUUCAUUUCAAACUCUCCGCUUAGACUGUCUUUUAGAGCUUUGAUGGUAGGUGUGUCUCUUGAAGCAAUCAACAUAUCAUCAACGUAAAGGAGUAGAUAGAUCGCUUUACCCGAAUUCACAUCUUUCAUGUAGACACAUGAAUCAUAUUCGCUUCUGAUGAAUCUCUGCUUCUUCAUGAAACUAUCAAACUUUAGGUUCCACUGUCUAGGUGAUUGCUUAAGGCCAUAUAAGGAUUUUCUCAGUAAGCACACUUUGUUCUCAUCUCCUUUCUCAAUGAAACCCUCAGGCUGUUCCAUGAGAAUUCUCUCCUCGAGAUCUCCAUGUAAGAACGCGGUUUUCACAUCCAUCUGUUCUAACUCGUAGUCGAAAUUCACUACUAGUGAUAGGAUCAAUCUUAUAGAUACAUGCUUCACAACAGGUGAGAAAAUCUCGUUGUAAUCCACACCCUCCUUCUGUGAAUAACCUUUGGCUACCACUCUGCCCUUGUAUCGCGGAUCCUCCACUCCUGGAAUGCCUGGUUUCAACUUGAAAAUCCAUCUGCAGCCAAUAAGCUUCUGAUUCUUAGGUCUUUCAAUUAAAUCCCAAGUCCUAUUCUUCUUAAGAGAUGCGAUCUCUUCCUUAGCUGCAUUAUUCCAAAACUUUCUUUCCUUAGUUCUCAUGGCUUCUGCAUAGGUCUGAGGCUCGUCAAUUUCAAGUUCCUCAGCAGCAAUCAGUGCAUAGGCUACUAGGUUUGCAUCAUCAAACCUGGACGGUGCCUUUAUAUUCUGUCUUCGGCUUCUGUCUCUGGCCAGUACAUAGUCGUCUAAAGCAGUAUCCCCUGAACUGACCAUGAUUCCUGUACCGAGAUCUGAAUCUGACCCUCCGUCUGAACUAACUGAACCUUGAGAACCUUCACUGUCUGACUCAUCUGACUGCCCUGAAGGAUCUUCACCUGAAGUUGAUGCACCUUCAGUAUUUCCUCUGGGAGUAGGACCAAGUAUCAAAUCAUCACUAAAAGAUACUUUCUUUUUCAUCUUCCUGUCAUUUUCAGAGUCUUCUGACGUUUUGUCAUUUCUAAUCCCAUUCACCUUUUCUGUAUCUUUAUACAAUUCCUGCUCAUGAAACACAACAUUUCUGCUCGUAGCACACUUGCCUUCAUCUUGAAUCCAAACCCUGUAGCCUUUAACUCCAAAAGGAUAACCAACAAACACUCCUUUUAAAGCUCUAGGACUUGUCUUCUCUUGUACUUUGUGUACAUACGCUGAGCACCCAAAACGCCUAAUGUGUGACAGAUCAAUCUUUCCUCCUGUCCACCUCUCCUCUGGAAUCUCAAAACCAAUGCUGGAACCAGGAGUCCGAUUUAUCAGAUAUACUGCAGUUGAUGUAGCUUCAGCCCAAAACUCAGAUCCCAAACCGGUUUCAGAUAGCAUGCUUCUUACUUUGUCCAUAAUGGUUCUGUUCAUACGCUCAGAGACGCCAUUCUGCUGAGGAGUAUAAGUGCAUGUACGGUGACGCUUAACUCCUGAGUCUUUACACAGCUUAUCAAACUUGUAGUUGCAAAACUCCAAACCGUUGUCUGUUCUCAGACAUUUUAACUUCCUUCCAGUUUGAUUUUCAACCUCUAGUUUCCACUCUUUGAAGCUUUCAAAAGCUUCGUCUUUAGUCCUCAAGAAGUAAACCCAAACUUUCUUUGAGUAGUCAUCAAUGAAACUUAUGAAAUACUUGCAGCCACCUAGACUCUCUGGCGUGGAUGGUGAUCCCCACAAGUCGGAGUGAACGUAGUCUAGGAUCCCUUCUGUAGUGUGCUUUGCUUUCUUGAAACUUUGCUUAUGUGAUUUUCCAAGAGCACAACUUUCACAGAAUUUUAAAUCUUCGACUUCUGUGAUUUUCAGGUAACCCUUCUUCACCAAGACAUUCAUGUUUGCUACACUCAUAUGCCCAAGUCUGGAGUGCCACAAAUCUAUCAUAUUUGGCUCAGCCUUUCCUAUAUUCACUUCACCUCUGGACACUGUGCCUUUUAGGUAAUAGAGCCCGUCUUGAUAGUUACCUGAUAUCACUCUUUCACCAUCCUUAAAGAACUCAACUUUAAAGUCUCCACCUUUGUAGGUACACCCUGCCUUCUCAAGCAUUCCAUAUGAUAUCAAGUUUCUGCUCAUCUGUGGCAUAUACCUCACAUCAGUAAGUAUAACCUCAACUCCAUCUGUAUUUCGAAUUUUUAUAUUCCCAAUGCCUUUCACAUCACACUGUGUGUUGUUUGCCAUUAAAACCUUUCCACCAUUUACGUCCUUGUAAUUGUACAGUACGUCCCGUUGUGGAGUUAUGUGAAAGGAACACCCGGAAUCUAGAACCCACUCUUGUUUAGAAUCCAAAGUGCUUACAGUUAGGACUAGAGGCUGCCUUCGUUCUGAAACCGUGUUUGCUGAAUCAUUAGAAUCUUGAGACUUGCUUUGCCUCUGUGGACACUCACGCUUCCAAUGUCCCUCCUUUUUGCAGAUAAAGCACGCAGUUUUGCCGUCUUUGUUUGCUCUUGGUUUUGACUGUGACCUUUGACCACGAGACUUAGAUCUCCCUCUGUCAUAAUGAGUCUUGCCAUUACCAUGAUCAUUCCUUUUGCUUGACCGUCCACGUGACUCCACAUACAGACCUUCAUUUGUCUUCCCAGCUUUUCCAAGCAGACCUUUCUGUUUGAGCUCUAUCUCCUUGGCGUACGCAGAAGAGACCACCUCUCUCACUGUGAGAGUAUCUUUCCCGGUGCCAUACUUCAGCGUAUGAACCAGCGCCUCAUACUGUGACGGUAAACCAGUAAGUAACUGAAUCGCCUGAUCCUCAUCACUUAUGGUUAUAUUAAGACUCGCUAGAUCACCAAUCAACUUGAGGAAACCAUCCAUAUUUUCUUCAACGCUCUUAGAUUCAUCCAUCUUGAAACUGGCAAAUUGUUGCUUGAGAUAGAUCCUGUUAGGUAGAGUCUUGGUCUGAUAAUCACGUUCCAAAGCUUUCCACAUUGCAAGAGCUGUAGGUUCAUGCAUUACCUUUCUUAGAAUCAUAUCACUCAAGCAGGUUCCCAUUAGAUUCUUGACUCUUGUAUCUUUCGCAACCUUUGCAGGAUCAAGGACUGGAUCAGCACCUUCUUCCAGCUUCUCUGACGUCUUGUAGAGUGUUGAUUCUUCUUGAAGAACUGAUCCCAAACCUUGAAUCUCCAGCUGACCAAGAAGUUUGUACUUCCACAUGCCAAAAUCUCCCUUUCCAUCAAACUUAUCCAUCUCGAAUCUACCUCGAGUAGGAUCAAUCUCCACAGAGUCCUUCCCAAGAUCCAUCUUGAAACAACCUCCUUUAAAGAGCUUCUAACCUUUGCAAUUACGAAUCCUUCCUGAAACAAUCAGCUCCAAAACAAGCAAACCACAGCUCUGAUACCACUUGUUGGUAAGUUUACGCUUAUUCUUUGAGUAUGUUCAGGUUCAAUUAGAGAUCUAACUGAUUCGUUCUUGUUCUCAGGUGAUCAACUACGCAAGAAAACGAAAUGCAAACGAGAUUGUUCACCCGGACUUCGUUGCCUACUGUCCGGGGAGGGAGCGGUAUCCCUCAAGCUUCACUAGAAUCAAUACAAAGCUUUGGAAACGUCUAUACAACAAGAUCUCAAUCCUCGGAAAGAGUCUAGUGUCGUUACCUCCGAAAUAUACCACAGAUAAUCGGAUCCUCGGCUAGAUCAACGUCGGAGACACUGCUCCGUCGCCUCCUGUUGAGCUAGCUACCG
RNAcentral lists this long non-coding RNA (5409 nucleotides) under Brassica napus (rape). RNAcentral's name for it is "long non-coding RNA (BNAP_LNC006597)". Lineage: Eukaryota; Viridiplantae; Streptophyta; Magnoliopsida; Brassicales; Brassicaceae. The record is from RNAcentral.